RNAcentral lists this long non-coding RNA (1373 nucleotides) under Felis catus (domestic cat). RNAcentral's name for it is "lncRNA (ENSFCAG00000051130.1)". The record is from RNAcentral. Lineage: Eukaryota; Metazoa; Chordata; Mammalia; Carnivora; Felidae.
UCCAUGUUUUAGCUCCCUGACCCUCAAAUCCCUGAAGAAAUGUUCUAGCCAUACAUACAGUAGGUCUUAAAAAAAAGUUUUUUUUUCAAACGGAGGGAUCUCCAUUUGACAGGUAAAGGAAAUGAAGCACAGAGAUUCUAAGGGAAAAAGAAGACAGAAGUAUGUAGUGAAUUCAGUUAGAUGAGCUCCCAUUUCUCUUGAUAACUUUUGUGGAUGCUAAUACCUAAGCUAAUAGCUUAUAAAAGAUUUAAUUGAACUACACUGAACAAAUGAACUACAAGUAAAUGUAUGUGAUACCAGUCCACACCAAUUAUAAAGUUAAAAUAUAGCACUUGUAUUUUCCGACAGUAUUUCCUUCAGCUCUUUUUGUAAAGUUGCCAAAUAACCCAAAUCAAUUUAGUAAUUGCUAUUUUCAUUAUUCACAGAACUAUUUGGGGUCAAUGUACUUUUAGUCUAUACUAAAAAAAUGCAUUAAAAGGAUAACAUGUAUUGGUUCUUCCUCAGGCUUAUCCAUGAACCCAAUAUUUUAGAGAAAUUAACUUUGUUUUUGAGUUGAAAAUUUAGAUUCAGUUUCCUUUGAAGCAUAUAUGGAUAUGACAUCCUGAGACUUCCCUUUCCAAGAGUUUGUAAUCAUUCUUUUAAUGGUUUUUAUUACAUUUUCAGAAGAGUCAUCAGUCCUUUUCUCCUGGAUGAUACUGCCUUGUUAAAGAGCCUGUAUAUGCUGAUGUUCCUUCCUGGAUGCAAAGGAAAUACAUGCUUUUCUGUACUGCUCUCUUCUGGUCUGAAGCCCUCCAAAUCCUCCAGUCCUCCCACCUUGACCACCUUCCUCAAAUACUGAAAAAAAUCUGAUGUAAACAACUGAUCAACAGUCUAAGCCAGAGACUAAGAGGAAGAAAGGGAGCCCUGUGAAUAGCGGUAUGGAGAGUAUAGAACCAAAGCACCUCAGGAUGGAAGGAAAGAGUGAAGGGUCCAGACAGGAAGACUGAGUGUGGGAAAUAAGCCACUCAAAGGGGUAAAAAAUGUUUUGUAGCAUCUUCUGGAUACAUGUGUGUGAUUAAUACCCAGAAAGGAAUGGGCCCAUGGUUUUUCCCUUCCAAAUAUUAGGGACAGAGCUAAUGGAUUAUUGAUUAUUGAUUUUGAACAUAAAUAUUUAACGUCAUUGUGACCAAUGCUCUGAAGAAAACUACCAUGCAUAUUUGGGGACCAAUUAUGGAAACAACUGUGUCCUGGAAUAUUGAGGGAAGGCUUCAUCCAAAAAGUGUCAGCGAAACAAGUUCUCAAAGUUGAAGUUAUCGGGAAAAGAACGUGGGAAAAAUGGUCAUAGAGGCAACAACGUGAAUAAAGGCAUUGAGGUUGGAAGGGGCUUGAUGUUC